GCAGUCGAGGGGUAUAGGAAGCUUGCUUCCUAGAGACCGGCGCACGGGUGCGUAACGCGUAUGCAAUCUACCUUUUGCAGAGGGAUAGCCCAGAGAAAUUUGGAUUAAUACCUCAUAGUAUGUGAGAAUGGCAUCAUUUUCACAUUAAAGUCACAACGGCAAAAGAUGAGCAUGCGUCCCAUUAGCUAGUUGGUAAGGUAACGGCUUACCAAGGCAACGAUGGGUAGGGGUCCUGAGAGGGAGAUCCCCCACACUGGUACUGAGACACGGACCAGACUCCUACGGGAGGCAGCAGUGAGGAAUAUUGGACAAUGGGCGCAAGCCUGAUCCAGCCAUGCCGCGUGCAGGAUGACGGUCCUAUGGAUUGUAAACUGCUUUUGUACAGGAAGAAACACUGGUUCGUGAACCAGCUUGACGGUACUGUAAGAAUAAGGAUCGGCUAACUCCGUGCCAGCAGCCGCGGUAAUACGGAGGAUCCAAGCGUUAUCCGGAAUCAUUGGGUUUAAAGGGUCCGUAGGCGGUUUAGUAAGUCAGUGGUGAAAGCCCAUCGCUCAACGGUGGAACGGCCAUUGAUACUGCUAGACUUGAAUUAUUAGGAAGUAACUAGAAUAUGUAGUGUAGCGGUGAAAUGCUUAGAGAUUACAUGGAAUACCAAUUGCGAAGGCAGGUUACUACUAAUGGAUUGACGCUGAUGGACGAAAGCGUGGGUAGCGAACAGGAUUAGAUAC
Molecule: ribosomal RNA, 728 nt
Filed under: Flavobacterium sp. YIM010
Lineage: Bacteria; Pseudomonadati; Bacteroidota; Flavobacteriia; Flavobacteriales; Flavobacteriaceae
Description: bacterial SSU rRNA
Rfam family: Bacterial small subunit ribosomal RNA
Source: RNAcentral